UACGGGGGGAGCAAGCGUUGUUCGGAUUUAUUGGGCGUAAAGGGCGCGUAGGCGGCGCGACAAGUCACUUGUGAAAUCUCCGGGCUUAACCCGGAGCGGCCAAGUGAUACUGUAGUGCUAGAGUGCGGAAGGGGCUACUGGAAUUCUCGGUGUAGCGGUGAAAUGCGUAGAUAUCGAGAGGAACACCUGCGGCGAAGGCGGUUCUCUGGGCCUGACCUGACGCUGAGGAGCGAAAGCGUGGGGAGCGAACAGG
This 253-nucleotide ribosomal RNA is filed under the name uncultured bacterium. RNAcentral describes it as "partial 16S ribosomal RNA". It matches the Rfam family "Bacterial small subunit ribosomal RNA", at positions 524 to 776 of the family's 1533-position model. The record is from RNAcentral.